GGCUCUUUGUUUCUUUUAUAUAAAGAGUCGGACCUGCCCAGUGAAAAUAAAUUUUAACGGCCGCGGUACUCUGACCGUGCAAAGGUAGCAUAAUCACUUGCCUUAUAAUUGAAGGCUAGCAUGAAUGGUUUAACGAGGGUAAUACUGUCUCUUUUUUACUUUAUAGAAUUUGAUUUAUAGGUGAAGAAGCCUAUAUAAGAUUGAAAGACGAGAAGACCCUGUCGAGCUUAAAAACAUAUACAGAAGUGGUUAUAUUAAUAAAUUAAAGUCUGUAUUUAAUUUUUAGUUGGGGCGACUGGGGAACAGAAAAAGCUUCCCUUAAAUAAAAAAUAAAUUUGUUUAGAUCCAGUAAAACUGAUUGAAAAAAUUAGUUACCGCAGGGAUAACAGCAUAAUCUUUCUUGAGAGACCUAAUCGAAAGAAGGGGUUGUGACCUCGAUGUUGGACUAGGAUGUCUUUAAGGUGCAGAAGCCUUAAAAAGUUGGUCUGUUCGACCAUAAAAAUCCUACG
Molecule: ribosomal RNA, 509 nt
Filed under: Ittibittium parcum
Lineage: Eukaryota; Metazoa; Mollusca; Gastropoda; Cerithiidae
Description: partial 16S ribosomal RNA
Rfam family: Bacterial large subunit ribosomal RNA
Source: RNAcentral